GAUGAACGCUAGCGACAGGCUUAACACAUGCAAGUCGAGGGGCAGCAUGAAGUAGCAAUACUUUGAUGGCGACCGGCGCACGGGUGAGUAACGCGUAUGCAACCUACCUGAUACAGAGGGAUAGCCCAUGGAAACGUGGAUUAACACCUCAUAGUUUAGUUGCCUGACCAGACUAUGAAAGCUCCGGCGAUGAAGGAUGGGGAUGCGUUCCAUUAGGUAGUAGGCGGGGUAACGGCCCACCUAGCCAACGAUGGAUAGGGGUUCUGAGAGGAAGGUCCCCCCANACUGGAACUGAGACACGGUCCAGACUCCUACGGGAGCAGCAGUGAGGAAUAUUCGGGUCAAUGGUCGGAAGACUGAACCAGCCAAGUAGCGUGAAGGAUGAAGGUUC
RNAcentral lists this ribosomal RNA (391 nucleotides) under uncultured bacterium. RNAcentral's name for it is "bacterial SSU rRNA". It matches the Rfam family "Bacterial small subunit ribosomal RNA", at positions 28 to 417 of the family's 1533-position model. The record is from RNAcentral.